RNAcentral lists this ribosomal RNA (253 nucleotides) under uncultured bacterium. Its description in RNAcentral is "partial 16S ribosomal RNA". It matches the Rfam family "Bacterial small subunit ribosomal RNA", at positions 524 to 776 of the family's 1533-position model. The record is from RNAcentral.
UACGUAGGGGGCAAGCGUUGUCCGGAAUCAUUGGGCGUAAAGAGCGUGUAGGCGGCUCGGUAAGUCCGCUCUGAAAGCCCGGGGCUCAACCCCGGGAGGCGGGCGGAUACUGUCGGGCUAGAGUCCGGAAGAGGCGAGUGGAAUUCCUGGUGUAGCGGUGAAAUGCGCAGAUAUCAGGAAGAACACCCGUGGCGAAGGCGGCUCUCUGGUACGUGACUGACGCUGAGACGCGAAAGCGUGGGGAGCGAACAGG